CCUACGGGUGGCAGCAGUGGGGAAUAUUGGGCAAUGGGCGAAAGCCUGACCCAGCAACGCCGCGUGAAGGAAGAAGGCUCUCGGUUUGUAAACUUCUUUUGACAGGGAAGAGCAGAAGACGGUACCUGUCGAAUAAGCCAUGGCUAACUACGUGCCAGCAGCUGCGGUAAUACGUAGGGGGCAAGCGUUAUCCGGAGUUACUGGGUGUAACGGGGGCGCAGACGGCAAUGCAAGCCAGGAGUGAAAGCCCGGGGCCCAACCCCGGGACUGCUCUUGGAACUGCAUGGCUGGAGUACAGGAGAGGCAGGCGGAAUGCCUAGUGUAGCGGUGAAAUGCGUAGAUAUUAGGCAGAACACCGGUGGCGAAGGCGGCCUGCUGGACUGUGACUGACGUUGAGGCCCGAAGGCGUGGGGAGCGAACAGGAUUAGAUACCCGUGUAGUC
This 442-nucleotide ribosomal RNA is filed under the name uncultured bacterium. RNAcentral describes it as "partial 16S ribosomal RNA". It matches the Rfam family "Bacterial small subunit ribosomal RNA", at positions 338 to 795 of the family's 1533-position model. The record is from RNAcentral.